Long non-coding RNA from Trachemys scripta elegans, 901 nucleotides. RefSeq lists it as uncharacterized. NCBI's taxonomy places the organism in Eukaryota, Metazoa, Chordata, Testudines, Emydidae. The record is from RefSeq and is a predicted model, not a curated record. The transcript is spliced from 5 exons.
CAAGAGUAAGGCAGAACAGUUGGGCUCCAGACUACAGCAGUGGAAUCUCCUGGCAGCAGCUUUGCACGCAGCGCAUGCCUGCCCACAAGCAGCUCUGCAAGCAGCGCACGCCUGCCCACAAGCUUCAGAUGCCGUGUUGCAUCAGUUGAAAAGGUAAAAUGAAGAAGCCGCUGGAUAACAGGGUUCACUCUUUCAGGUUCCAUAUUUGAGUUCUCUUUUGGAUCCAUUUUCCAACAGGAUCCCUGCAGUUCCUCUUCACAUUCCUGCCUGGGUCUCCUAUUCUUUUGACUGGAUAGUAUCUUAGUAGUAUAUUUUAUUCCCUUUCGUUGAUGUUUAGUUAUUCUAAUGACUUGGUAUGCUAACUCCUAAACACCAGGAUGUGAUCUAAUGGUUAAAUUAUAGAAGAAAAGUCAGUGAAAAGGUUUAACACGGGUAUGCAAAGGAAAAAAUGUAGAUCUGGUCAUAUGUUUUGCAUGGAUAGAAGAGUUCUGGUUUUACUUAUACUCCUUGAUAGGCUACCUGGAGACUACACAAAGCACUAACAAAUGGAGUAGGGCUGCAUUUACUUUGGCAAAAAUGGGAUUCAUAAUUCAUCACAGGGUGGAUUAAAAUGUUUUAUUUAUUUAUUUAUUUAUUUAUUUUAUUUCAAUUGUAAUUUCUCAAUCUGUUCAAUGAAAUCUGAGUUUAAUACAAAAUAUGUUAAGGCCUAAAUUUAAAAUAAUCUCAAACAUUUUAAUAAAUAUACUGAAUCCAUAAGUCUUUAUCAAAAGUUUUAAAGGCUGCUUUCCUAUGUAAAGAAAGGAACGGGAAAAUCUUGUUUCUGACAUCAAGCUUUAUAGAUUGGCACAAUAGGUCGUGUACUGUAUUAAGGGCUUGUUUUUUUAAUAAAAAAUAAAAUUUA